Long non-coding RNA from Megalobrama amblycephala (Wuchang bream), 1082 nucleotides. RefSeq lists it as uncharacterized. The record is from RefSeq and is a predicted model, not a curated record. The transcript has 4 exons. Lineage: Eukaryota; Metazoa; Chordata; Actinopteri; Cypriniformes; Xenocyprididae.
CUGUAUUUAGCAUCAUAUUUCAUGUCUUAUUAUUAAUAUAUAUCAAUUUAUCAGUUUUCCUUCAGUCUAUAUCAUGUAAAUAAAUUAGCAUAUUGUUGAGCUAAUGCAGUUUAUGCUAAUAAUUGGUUUUGUGUUGACAUUUUUGUACAAAAGAAAUCUCAUACUGUGUAAAAGAAUUUCUAAAAGAAACAAUUUAGGCCUAUUUGAUCUAAUAAUUAUUAUAAUUUUUAUGGUAAUACUAAAGAAAUCCAGACAAACACAUCAACCUCACCCCCACUCAACUCCUCGCAACAACAAAACACCAGUCUCUCUGCAGAAAUCCAGACAAGCGCAUCAACCUCACCCCCACUCAACUCCACGCAACAACAAAACACCAGUCCUUCUACAGGAAUCCAGACAAACACAUCAACCUCACCCCCACUCAACUCCUCGCAACAACAAAACACCAGUCCUUCUACAGAAAUCCAGACAAGCACAUUAACCUCACCCCCACUCAACUCCUCGCAACAACAAAACACCAGUCCUUCUACAGGUAACACUGUAUUUAACAUCAUAUUUCAUCUCUUAUUAUUAAUAUAUAUCAAUUUAUCAGUUUUCCUUCAGUCUAUAUCAUUUAAAUAAAUUAGCAUAUUGUUGAGCUAAUGCAGUUUAUGCUAAUAAUUGGUUUUGUGUUGACAUUUUUGUACAAAAGAAAUCUCAUACUGUGUAAAAGAAUUUCUAAAAGAAACAUUUUAGGCCUAUUUGAUCUAAUAAUCAUUAUUAUUUAUGUGGUAAUACUAAAGAAAUCCAGACAAGCACAUCAACCUCACCCCCACUCAACUCCUCGCAACAACAAAACACCAGUCUCUCUGCAGGUAACACUGUAUUUAGCAUCAUAUUUCAUGUCUUAUUAUUAAUAUAUAUCAAUUUAUCUGUUUUCCUUCAGUCUAUAUCAUGUAAAUAAAUUAGCAUAUUGUUGAGCUAAUGCAGUUUAUUGUAAUAAUAAUCAGUUUUGCAUUGACAUUUUUGUACCAAAAAACCUUCUUACAUGUCAUACUAUACAAAACUAUUCAUAAGAGAAACAAUUUAUUUGAUCUAAUAAU